AAUCAAGUGGAGGACAAGUCUGGUGCCAGCACCCGCGGUAAUUCCAGCUCCACUAGCGUAUAUUAAAGUUGUUGCAGUUAAAAAGCUCGUAGUUGAACCUCUGUCUGGGGCUAGUUUUGGCUUUGGUCAGGCUAGUUCUAGGCAUCCGCCUACAAGACUUAGAGGGCAUUCAGUUGUUCACUAGGAGGAGUAGGCAUUUUACUUUGAAAAAAUUAGAGUGUUUAAGGCAGGCAAUCGCCCGCAUAUAUUAGCAUGGAAUAAUAGAAUAGGACACUUUUCCAUUUCGUUGGUUAUUGGAAUCGUGUAAUGAUUAAUAGGGACAGUUGUGGGCAUUUGUAUUUAAUUGUCAGAGGUGAAAUUCUUGGAUUUAUUAAAGACAAACUAACGCGAAAGCAUUUGCCAAGGAUGUUUUCAUUAAUCAAGAACGAAAGUUAGGGGAUCAAAGACGAUCAGAUACCGUCCUAGUCUUAACUAUAAACUAUUCCGACUCAAUGUUUGACUGGCUUAUAUAACCAGUUGAGCGUUGUAUGAGAAAUCAAAGUCUUUAGGUUCUGGGGGGAGUAUGGUUGCAAAGCUGAAACUUAAAGGAAUUGACGGAAGAGCACAACCAGGAGUGGAUUCUGCGGCUUAAUUUGACUCAACACGGGGAAACUUACCAGGUUAAAACAAUAGUGGGAUUGACAGUUUGAGAGCGCUUUCUUGAUUGGUUGGGUGGUGGUGCAUGGCCGUUCUUAGUUGGUGGAGUGAUUUGUCUGCUUAAUUGCGUUAACGAACGAGACCUUAACCUGCUUACUAGACUGGCGAUCAUCAAUCGUUAGCUCUUCUUAGAGGGACUUUGGUUGUUUUAACUCCAAGGAAGUUUGAGGCAAUAACAGGUCUGUGAUGCCCUUAGAUAUCCUGGGCCGCACGCGUCAUACAAUGACUAGUUCAGAAAGUUUUCUCCUGACCCGAAAGGGGAUGGGUAAUCUUGAUAAUACUAGUCGUGUUAGGGAUCGAUCUUUGCAAUUAUAGAUCUUGAACGAGGAAUUCCUAGUAAGUGCGGUUCAUCAGACCGUACUGAUUACGUCCCUGCUCUUUGUACACACCGCCCGUCGCUUCUACCGAGUGGGUGGUCCGGUGAGAUAAUUGAACUUCGCAGGUAACUGAGAGGAAGGAUUAUCAAACCUAUCCACCUCGAGGAAGAAGAAGUCGUAACAAGG
This 1199-nucleotide ribosomal RNA is filed under the name metagenome. RNAcentral's name for it is "SSU rRNA". It matches the Rfam family "Eukaryotic small subunit ribosomal RNA", at positions 542 to 1799 of the family's 1831-position model. The record is from RNAcentral.